This is a non-coding RNA of Chlorocebus sabaeus (green monkey), 1005 nucleotides long. Lineage: Eukaryota; Metazoa; Chordata; Mammalia; Primates; Cercopithecidae. The record is from RefSeq and is a predicted model, not a curated record.
ACGGCAGAGCUGACCACAGACCCGGCCCACGGGCCCCCGGGAUCAUCCCGCCCAGCCGAGCUCCUGGGCCGCCUGGGAGCCUAGGAGUGUCUUCUCAGAGAGAAAGCAGCAGCCGUCUUGCAUUUGCACGUCUCCAAUUUGGCGCGGGUUCCCUCGGCCUGCCCUCCGCACCGGAGACUCAGGUGCCUCCGCCCUCCUGGGGGCAGGGGCGGCCUGUCGGCUGAGUUGUGAUUGUCAAGCUCCGAGAACUUUCAGAGCUCAGUCCGCCCAGCGUUCUUGUUUACCAAUUGUGGAAACGGAGACCCAGAGAGGCUCCGCAGCGCGCCGGCACUCACACACCUGCUGGGGACAAGUGUGGACUAGGAUAUCCGGGACCUAAGUCUUGGCUUCCAGCUCCCUCUUGUCUCCCACCUACCUUUCCAGGAAGAGGCCCACGAAGGUUAAGACCCCAGGGCCCCUGUGCAACGUACUGCAGCCCUGUUCCGUCCACCAUUUCUGGGAUCAGCGCCCCACGGAGGGAAGGCAUCUGCCCAGACUGGCUUUUUGCACCCCCGCUCAAGCCUUGCACCCACGCCCAAGUCCUAGCCCCACUGAACGCUAUGCCUGGUCAGCAGUGCGUGUCCAGGGGUGCUGGUAGUGUGCGUAUUUUCCCUAUAACCAACCUGUCUCUGCCUCUCUCCAGGCCCUCAGAGCAACCAGGCCAGGGCGAGAAGCUUGGGAGAUAGAAACCCAGAGGACGCACUGUGGGGCCAUCUGAAGAUCCUGCGUCCCCUGUCCCACCCUUUUUGUCACCCAGGGUCCAUGACUGUGCCAGAAGCACGUCCCUGAGGCCCAUGGUGGUGGGAGGAGGGUGUGGGAUUGGGAUCUGGCCACCUGGCCGUGCUGCACACCAAUUGUGUAAUCAUGAUCAUCUGCUCUAAACACGUAUCUUUAACAUUCGAAAGGAAUGACCGUCUGGUGGGGUUGCCAUGUAGAGUACGUGAGAAAUUAAAUCUCACAGGUGCU